GCCCAGCCGUAAACUUAAUUUACCAUCGCCAGAGAACUACGAGUUACACUUAAAACUCAAAGGACUUGACGGUACCCCAAAUCCCACUAGAGGAGCCUGUCCUGUCACCGAUGACCCCCGUUAAACCUCACCCCCCCUAGCCCAUCAGCCUGUAUACUUCCGCCGUCAGCCCACCACGUGAGCGCAAUUGAGUAUGCCCCUCCGCUUAACUCGCACAGACGUCAGGUCAAGGUGCAGCUUAUGGGGGGGGAAGAGAUGGGCUACAUUCUCUACCCUAGAGCAAACAGAAAACACAUGAAACUAAGUUGGAAGGUGGAUUUAGAAGUAAGGGGGGAAUAGAGUGCCCCCUUGAACUUGGCACUGGAGUGUGUA
Molecule: ribosomal RNA, 372 nt
Filed under: Craugastor sp. FMNH 257561
Lineage: Eukaryota; Metazoa; Chordata; Amphibia; Anura; Craugastoridae
Also listed under: 1 other name
Description: partial 12S ribosomal RNA
Rfam family: Bacterial small subunit ribosomal RNA
Source: RNAcentral